RNAcentral lists this long non-coding RNA (10662 nucleotides) under Zostera marina. Its description in RNAcentral is "long non-coding RNA (ZMAR_LNC004071)". Lineage: Eukaryota; Viridiplantae; Streptophyta; Magnoliopsida; Alismatales; Zosteraceae. The record is from RNAcentral.
UACAACUAGUUUAAACAUCUACAAUAUGUUUAAAAAAAUUACUACCCAAUAAUUACAAGCUUAGAAACACAAUGAUGUAGGACAAUUACAAAAAACCGUUAAUGAUUCCGUCCUUGUUUAUAUUUUUCUCUCCUUGCUGCCUAUUUGCACCAUUAAGUUCUUAGAUUUUUUAUUCGUGUCUUUAGAAAAAGAAUGUCUCAUUUGUUCUGUUAUCCGAUGCAGAGCACAAUUCCUGCGAGGCACUAUAGUUAUCAGUUGAAUAUUUUGGUUUUUAGUUUUGACUCUUUUUUGACUUUAAGAAAGUAUAAGACUCACAGUCAUUGCAUCUACAUCUAUCUUAACGAACAUAAGUGACAGAAACUUACUAUGAAAAUAAAUAGAACAUGGGACUAAUUAAUUUUAUUGGGCCACACAGACAAACUUCUAUUAUUCGCCAUUACCUAUCCAUCAAAAUUGAAGAUCGAGAUAAAUAAAGAAAUAAAGAAAAUUAGAAUUUGUAAAUAAAGGGAAAAUAUACAUUGAAUAGUAACCUUCUUAACUAAGGAUUCUGCGAGAGAUGUCUGUCCAAUGUCAUCUUGAAAAUUGACGCCAAACCAUCCAAUCCAUUUAGCAUCGUGUUAAAUUACACCUGCCAGGUUAGAAUUUGUAGUGGAUUACAUAAUAACAGAAAUAUAAACAUGAGAAAUAGUAAUGAAAUAAUAAAUUCUCAUUUCCAACCGGACCAUUCAUUAAGGCCCCAGCACUUACAUCCAUAGACCUAGAAUCAUCUUAUUUCCAUUGAUCAGUGAGUGAUGACCUAUUCUCGACAAACAGAGGUUGCAUCAUUGGUUGUUAUUAACAUUAAACAUAGGCAUAAUCUUGGAUGGUUUAGAGCAACCAAACACAUUGAUCUAUAUUCUUAAAUACGAACGAGAACAAUGAAACCCUAAGCGUGCCGAAAGCCACUUGAUUGUAUCUACCAUCUCUCCAGGUACUGUGUACAGUCCUAGUCUGUAGUUCCAUUGAGAUAUACUUAAUUGCCAUUGUAUGGUUUGAAUGUGAUAUUUCCGAAUGAAGUUUAGUGCAAAAAUUUUGACCUUUUUCACCAUCAUUGUAGACAUCCACAUCAUCACCUAUAAGAUUAAAAAACAUGGAGUUCGAAUAAAUAAGAUCAAAAAAAACAAAAAGACAUUUUAUUAAGACCGAUUUAGUGAUAAAGCAAGAGUGGAAGAACAAUAAAUCAGCCGAGUUUUAAAAUUACUUGUAUAUAUGCUGUAAUAUGUAGUCAUGGAGAGACAUAUGUAUGGGAUUCCUCCAAGCAUUAAUACUGGCCUAGUAGGUGUUGUUUGAGAUAUCCAAUGUAUCUGCGUUGGGAGUUUAGCGUUAGAAUUAUUUUAAAACAUACAUAUUUCUGAGCAUAUGGUUGGAGUGCUCACAUUUUGAAUAGGAUGAGUUUCUAGAGGUUAUGAAUAGCUGUGUAGUAAAAGUCGUAUAAUAAAAUACAAUCAGAUCGAGAGUAAAAUACAGGUCAUGUUUAUCGAGCACAGUGAAGAUGGAAUUGAAAAACACGUUAGUACUCAGCCACCAAAUUUGUGAGACCCAAGGAAUCAAGAUUUAGGCAUAAUUUGAACUCUGAAGCCUAUAUUUCAUAGUUCAAUCAAACAGCAAUAAGGAAAUAUGAAUGAAAGACUCUAGGAAGGAAAGAACACCGACAUAGCUGGAACCAUGAUCACCUAAGCCAGGAAGCCUACAUUGUUUAACACUUCUUCUAACUCUAUAACCAGUGGCCGUAGAAGUUCUUAGAUAGCGCAUCUCAACAAGAACACACUAAGAUUGAAAAAUUUAUUGAUUUUUGAAUGGAGAAGUAUUCAGACAAUUGAUUGAAACUCUGUGUAUAUAUAUAAAGAAGGUUAAGAACUAAGCACUUGGUAGUAAUAUCUAUAGCUAAAAUAGUCAGUACUCAUUUAAGCUCUCUUAGAGCUCACUAAGCCAAAGAGUGUUUCCUGAAAAAUGGAAGCGUUUUUUUCUCUUUUUUGAACUAUAAUACUAUUUCUAUCGAGCCUAACUAGUCGAGCUCGACCUCGACAAUGCAAGCCAAGGCUUGUUUAGCUUAAUGAGCCUAGAUCCUAGGCUCGAGCUUAAAGAGUCGAGCCCGAGGUCAAGCCAUAGCCGAGCUUAAAGCCUAAACUUGACACUCUACAUGAAACAAUGAAAUACAUACAAUAUCCUCUCCCUGUGGUGAGGAGUGGAAUUCCACAUCCUUAUUUCACAUAUGAACAAUAUGCAAACACAAAUUUUAAGAAAAGGACCAAUUACUAUUACUGACUUUUAGCCGCUAGUUCACUAAUGGAUUAUUGUAUUUAAUUCCCAGGAAGAGAAUACAUGUUCCCCAUACUAGGUUUGGUCGAAAAAACAGUAUUAGAUUUUCCCAAUCUAGAUCGAAUAACUAGUUGGCAUCUGUCAAAGAUUCCUCCUAAAUUAGAGAACAUUAGGGGCCUCUUACAAAAUGAUAGACUCAAGUAUUUGGGGCCAACUACUUGAGUAUAAAUGCACAAUUAAGGGAGCAUGCUAAUUUAACAAUAUUUUCAGAAUCAAUCAUAGAUAAUCCAACAUAGUACUCUCUACCCGACAUUGGUACCCUUUAUUCUCUCUGGUGUAAUCCUGAAUAACAAUUAAUUUUCCAGAUUGAUUAAAUGAUUAUUAACCCUCGUUUGAUUGAUGCUUAACGAUUCCUAAUCAGCCACUACUUCUUAAUACAUUGGUAUCUGGUUACUGCUAUACUACUUUCUUAAUAAAUUGGAAUAUCAUUUAAGCCUCAAUUGUAUAUUUGAACUUUCCCCAUAUAUUGUUUAACACGUCUUCUAACUCUAGAAGCAGAGGCCGGAGAAGUGCUUAGGUAGCUCAUCUCAACAAGAACACACUUAAAUUGAAAAAUCUAUUGUCCUUUGAAUGGAGAAGUAUUCAGACAAUUUAUGGAACCUCUUUGUAUAUAUAUAAAGCAGUUGAAGAACUCAACACUUGGUAAUAAUAUAUAUGAAUGAUAUCCAACACAUCAUUGUUUCCCAUGGUACACGAUACAGACAAGUAAUUAAUAUUAAGGUGAUUUUGGUGAUUUAUAAUACUACACCACCCAAGUGUAUACAUAUAUAUCAGAAUAAAUCAAAUCAAACUAGCAUAUUGACAUGUACAAUAAAAAUAAUUAUUUCACCAUAUAUAUUCAGAAGAAGAUCCACCCACCUCAAUGUCUUCAACUGAUUUUGAGUUUGGUCAUAUAAACUAACUAAGCUGUCGUUUCUUAGAAACAGUGUUUGUGUUACCCUAUAUGUAUAUACAAACAAAACAUGAAUUACAAAUAUUUCAAUCUAGAAAUUCAAUGAAUCGAUAUGUUUAUUUGAUUUUAAAUUAAUAUAAGAUUUGUCUUAUAAUUUUUCAAAAUUAAUAUCUCACAUCAAUUAGUUUCCUAUAUAUAGAGAAAGAACUAUUUACGGUAUUAUAUGUACCUUUGAUUCCUUCGAUGCAUCAUGGCUGUCUUUAUUGGUAGUAAUUCUGUACGAUGCUGCCACGUUUGGUAUACUCCUGUUAUCAUGUAUUUCAUCUGAACGACAAUAAACAACAUCCGAUAUAUUAUAUUCAGCUAUGUAAUUCUAUUUAUUUUUUACUUAAAUAACGUUUGGUAUAGUUUUGGAUGAUUUUGGAGCAUAGCAGAUUUUCUACCUGGGGGGUGUAAAGCAUUUGGUUUGAAUGCUCACAUUUGUUUUAAAUUUACCUCUUUCUAAUAAAUGCAAAGAAAUUAACAACUAGUUAUUCAUACAUAUCUGCCUAGGAUAAUUUAUAAUCAAAGUUCGAGACGAAUAAAUUGGCGGCAAAUCUCUUUUCCUUCGCUACCAGAUCUAUGUAUCAGUUAUGGUAAUCUACCGCGCAGCUCCGAGCGUUAUGUCCUUGUUGUUGGCAUUUUUUGCAACAUCUUGGCUUUUUUACUUUAAUUUCUCUAGUUGACUUGAACCUCGGGUCUGCCUUGCUCGGGCGACCCGUAUUUUUCCCGCUUCCUUUUGUCUUCGCUACCUUAGGAUUCCCUAUUAGAGGAAUGCAAGUAAUCUUAUCUUCAAAUAUGGUAAUAGAUCUUGAAACCGAUUGCCUAUUAGCGGUGGAGUGUAGCCCUUCAAAUUCUUGCAGGAUUCCAUUCAUUCUUGAAAUUAUUUCAUCUUCUAUCUUUGCAUUGUUUGCAAUCAAUCUUGCGCAUCUAUUGAAAAUCGAUGUAAGAGCGUUACCUACGGGUUUUUUAAUCCCUUCUUCUCUUGUUUGUGAUUUGUUUUCUGUCUUUUUCCAACGAUCGCAAAUCAGAUCAUUUGGUAAUGAAGUCCUUCCAGUUGAUGUUAGAAAACAAAUAAUAUGGCGGCACGGAAUUGCUUUGCUUGAGAAUAGAUGAUAGCUACAUGAUGGUGUAUCAUCCAAAUCCUUGCAUGUUAUUUUAGCUGACUGAAUUUGGGUGUAUAUCCCUACUACAAUGUGAAUAUUGGGUUCAUGUGAAAGUAGAUAUAGAAAUAUUAUAAAAAAACCAUAUUAUGAAAUGUAUUCGAAUUUAAUGACCAUUCCUUACAUUUGGAAGUCCUCGAAUAUAAUAGCAUACACUUUUCUGGACUUGUUGCUGGUAUAGUAAAAAAAACCUCUGUAGUGUAGAUGGAGAGCAAACAUUUUUCGAUUUGUAGUUGUGUAAUUAGUAAUGGUGGUGCGUCCCUGUCUCUGUGGUUCAGUUCUUCGAGUUUGUUGCGUUGUGCGUUUAACACUACUUUUAGGGAGCAAACAAAUUCGAAUAAUGUUGAUGAUCGUUUGACGUUUAACUUCACUAGGGAAUUCAUCCCCUCACUUCGUUGGGUACUCUGCAUCCCACCGAAGAAGUGAUUAGUCAUGUAAAUUGGACACCAGCUUUCUCGGAUGGUAUACAUAUCUUUCAACCACUUGUUUUCUGUUAGUUUAUUGUCGGUGGCCCAAGAAGCCCAAUUUUUCUCAAAUUCAUUGAUAUUCUCAGAUGUAUUCAGGAUCUUGUUGAACCGUUCCAUCUCGUCCUUAUUCCUGUAGACUAUGCCAACCUUAUCACACAUCUUGUGGGUGAUGUGCCACUUGCACAGUCGAUGAAAUGUUGUUGGGAAUUCACGUGAUAUAGCAGUUUUCAUUGCUGCGUCUUGGUCAGUUAUUAUUGUUUUAGGGUAAUUACCCAUGCAUUUCUUGAAUUCUGAGAACAACCAUAUGAAGGAUUCCGUAGACUCGUUCGAGAGAAAUCCAUUAGCGAAGAGUACCGUUCGCAGGUGAUUGUUUAGCCCACAGAAAAUUCCAAUAAUUAGCUUAUACUUGUUUGUGUUAUACGUCGUAUCGAACGUUAUAGCCUCUCCGUAUUGUUUAUAUUCUUCAAUACAUGUAGGGUCAGCCCAAAACAACUGCUUCAAAGAUCCUAUGAAUAGAAAGAGCAUAUUACUACUGUUUAAAUUAUAUACAAAGUUUCAUAUAAAAUUGUUUUUUACCUUCCUCGUCGAGUUCGUACGAGUAGUAGUAAUCGUCGUCAUGAUCCUUAAGUGUUCGAAAUUUAUUGAUAAGAAUAUCUACGUCAUGACUAUUCAUGUUUUCCUUGUCGUCUCGUCGGUAAUUUGAGAAAUCUCGCUGGGUAAAGGAACAGCUAGAGAAGCCCCUCGAUUGCAUAGCGACGUAUGUAUAUUGUUGGCUUGGAGGAAUGUUUGAUUCAUCUAAACUUCUUAUCAAAUUUCGGGCAUACGGUGUUAUUUCCCUAUUUAUCUUAAGGAACCUUUUAUUUGAUGGCGCCGACAUAUCAUGGUUGUGAUCAUCGUUGACGUUACAUAUCAUCCAUUGUUCUCCGAUUUUCUUGAUAGAAAGAAGAGCUUUGCAUCCUGUUCUUGAAUUUCUUAUGUGUCUAGGUUUCGUAGAUAUGUUGGCUGGAUUUUCUACUACUGGCACCUUUGCCUUUGAUGUACCCUCCUUUGAACAAACGUAUGUCUUCUUACGGAGACCCUUUUUCGAAUGUCUAGUUGAGCCUUUUCGCACGCAGAAUCCUUUCUGCCCCGCGAAUGCGUAGUAGGUAUGUUCCACCUCUUCUAGUGAGUCGAAUGUCAUACCGACCUUUGGAAGAUUGAUAAAUCUGGAAAAGUAUGCACUUAUCAAUGUUAUAGUAAUAUGGACUAGAUGUGAUGUGUGUACCAAAUAGUUAUGGUUUGGCGUAGGUUACCUGAUGCUAUCCACAUCUGUACUAUACAUAUCUUCCCUUCCAUAUUGAUCAUCCCUAUUAGUUGGACUGAAAAAUCAAUACCAUACAUCUUCAAAUGAUGUGGGACACCCAUUGGCCUUUCAAAAACAUAUAAUUUAGUAAUCCAUUUCUAACAUAACUUAAAUUACCUUCCUUCUGUCAGUAAAUACGUUUUGUUGUUAUGACUAUCACCUACUUGUAGUUCUUCUGAUUCUGUGAACAAAGUUUCUUUUAGGGGAACCUGACUAGUUAAUUGUUCAUUUGAAUAAAAUCACUUAGGAUUGAAUUUUAAAUACCUCUCCUUUGAAAUUCAUUAUUCAGGCCUAGUGACUGUUUAGCAAAAGAGGAUGAAGGUUAUUAGAACCUAUCCAUGUAAUUUCUAUUUUGUUAAAAAGUUCUCAUAAAAUGUUUAGCGUAGUAUCCUACUCCUAUAGAAUCUUAUAUAAACAAGAGGAAUAACCUAAUAUGAAUCGAUUUUUUUUUCUUUGCAUAUAGUAAACCUAGAAAAGCGUAAGCAUCUUACACUGUAGUUGUCGUUCGUGGGAGCUUCCUCAAUCAUCCUGCACAGAAAAAAUUCCAUUAAGUUCGAUAGUGUGAUUAAAUUAGAAUAACCAUUACUGAUAUUAGUAAUUAGAAUAACCAUUCAAUAUUCAUACAUAAGUGUUUUACUUAUACUGUGCAAUAAUCGAGACAGAAGCAUUGCUGAUCAGGAGAAACUCAACCGGGCAAUUCAAGAACGUAUAAUGAAUUAGGUACAUAAGGACCUAUGAUAGAUUAUUAUUUUUGUGCAAAUAAUAAUAAAACUACCGGCCGAUUAAACCUAAAGUCUGCUCUGGAUAACAGUGAGCAAAACCAGUGCAUCCCACAGAUAGAUACUAUGCAUACUAACUUUAGUGUGCUCUUAUGAAAUCUUAUGAUAUUUUCAAAAUAAUUGAUAUAAAUCUAAAAAUACUCAUGUGUAUGACGACUUAUUAAACAGAAUCACAUAUGUAUUAAUACGAUGCCUAAUCAAAAGAUAUGACAAUAUAAUUAAUCAAAAAUGAAUACAAUUCGAAAUGACAUCCUUCAUACUUGGGCAGUGAUAUUUUGUAUAACGAAAAUGUAAAACCGCCGGACAUGAGUGGGUGAUACCAGCGAAGGUUAUAGCCAGAUUAUGUGGAUACUAAUGAAGAGUGAUUUAUCAUGAAAACGAAUAGUAGUUGGGAAAGUACCUUAACUUGUCGAUGGCGAUGAUCCAAAUUUUUAGACAUAUUUAAGUAGAAGUCACCUGAAAAUUAAAUACCAAAUAAUAACUGGUAGUAAUUACCCUCUUUACUAAGUUAUAUUAAAUUUCAUCUAUAAAAAUUAUGGACACUUUUUUAGAAUUCAUUAGGUUUCGUUGUUAUGACUAUCACCUACUUGUAGUUCUUCAGAUUCUGUGAACAAAGUAUCUUUGAGGGGAACCUGACUAGUUCACUGAUGAUAUGAAGAAAAUCAUUCAAAAAUGAAUUGUAAAUAACUCUCCUUUAUUUAGGACUAGUGACUGUUUAGCAAAAAAGGAUGAAGGUUAUUAGAACCUAUCUAUGUAUUUUCUAGUUUGUUCAAAAGUUCCCAUAAAAUGUUGAGCGUAAUAUCCUAAUCCUAUAGAUUGUUAUAUAAAGUAGACGCAGUUCCUAAUAUGAAUCGAUGUUUUUUUUUUUGCAUAUAGUAAACCUAGCAAAUCGUAAGCAUCUUACACUAGUUGUCGUUCGUGGGAGCUUCCUCAUUCAUCCUGCACAGAAAAAAUGCCAUCGAGUCCAAUAGUGGGAUAAAAGUAUCUUGUUUUUACUACAGAUAUUAGUAUUUAGAGUAACGAUUCAAUAUUCAUACAUUAGUGUUUACUUAUACUGUGCAAUGAUCGAGAAAGUAACAUUAUUUAACAGGAAAAAUCAAAAUCGAUCAAUUCAAGAACUUGUGAUAAAUUAGGGGCCCAAUGACCUGUAAUAGAUUAUUAUUUUUGUGCUAAUCAUAAUAAUACUGAUGCCCGAUUAAACCUAAAGUCUAAUUUGGAUAGCAGUGAGCUAAACUAGUGCAUCCCACAGAUAGAUUCCAUGCAUACUAACUACUAAUGUGUUGGUAUGAUAUCCUCUGAUAUUUUCAAAAUAAUCGAUUUAAAUAAAAAACUACUAAUGUGUAUGACGAAUUAUUAUACAGAAUUACAUUUCUAUUCGUACAAUGCCUAAUCAGAAAAUAUGACCAUAAAAUUAAUCAAAAAUGAAUACAAUUCGAAAUGACAUCCAUCAUACUUGGUCAGGCAUAUUUUGUAAAUCUAACAUGUAAAACCUCUUGUGGCAAAAUGCUUUGAACAGCUAAUAUGAAAUUAGUUAAAGUAAAUAGAUCCAUGAUUAAUACUAAUACCUUAAGGUGGAAAGGGCAAUAGUAAUUAUAACAAAGUCCUUUGUUUGAUUAGUUAUACCGUAUCGAAUUUCUUUUAGUUUCGCAAAAGCUUUUUAGAAUUCAGGUAACUAAAAUCCGCGGAUCUUCUCAACCAUAGGGGCAUAGGAAGUGUGGGAAUGUAAUGUAGAAAAUAAGGAUUUGGGUAUUUUUGGGCAAUACCUAGCUCAAUACACCACUGGACAUGAGUGGGUCAUACCAGCAAAGGUUAUAGCCAGAUUAUGUGGAUACUAAUGAAAAGUCAUUUAUGAAGAAAACGAAUAAUAGUAAGGAAAUUACCUUAACUUGUCGAUGGCGAUGAUCCAAAUUCUACGUAAUAAUUAUGUAGAAGUCACCUAAAAAAUAAAUAUCCAUUAAUAAAUGUUUUUAAGUACUGUUAGAAAAUACAAUCUUUACUAAGUAAUAAUAUAAUUCGUCUAUAAAAAUUAUGAACACUUUUUUAGAAUUCAUUACGUUUGGUUGUUAUGACUAUCACCUACAUGUAGUUCUUCAUAUUCUGUGAACUAAGUUUCUUCUAGGGGAACUUGACUAGUUAAUUGUUCAUUUGAAUAAAAUCACUUAGGAUUGAAUUUUAAAUACCUCUCCUUUGAAAUUCAUUAUUCAGGCCUAGUGACUGUUUAGCAAAAGAGGAUGAAGGUUAUUAGAACCUAUCCAUGUAAUUUCUAUUUUGUUAAAAAGUUCUCAUAAAAUGUUUAGCGUAGUAUCCUACUCCUAUAGAUUCUUAUAUAAACAAGAGGAAUAACCUAAUAUGAAUCGAUUUUUUUUUCUUUGCAUAUAGUAAACCUAAAAAAGCGUAAGCAUCUUAUACUGUAGUUGUCGUUCGUGGGAGCUUCCUCAAUCAUCCUGCACAGAAAAAAUUCCAUUAAGUUCGAUAGUGUGAUAAAAUUAUAUUGUUUUUACUAUAGAUAUUAGUAAUUAGAAUAACCAUUCAAUAUUCAUACAUAAGUGUUUUACUUAUACUGUGCAAUAAUCGAGACAGAAGCAUUACUGAUCAGGAGAAACUCAACCAGGCAAUUCAAGAACGUAUGAUGAAUUAGGUACAUAAGGACCUAUGAUAGAUUAUUAUUUUUGUGCAAAUAAUAAUAAAACUACCGGCCGAUUAAACCUAAACUCUGCUCUGGAUAACAGUGAGCAAAACCAGUACAUCCCACAGAUAGAUUCUAUGCAUACUAACUUUAGUGUGCUCUUAUGAAAUCUUAUGAUAUUUUCAAAAUAAUCGAUAGAAAUCUAAAAAUACUCAUGUGUAUGACGACUUAUUAAACAGAAUCACAUAUGUAUUCAUACGAUGCCUAAUCGGAAAAUAUGACAAUAUAAUUAAUCAAAAAUGAAGAUAAUUCGAAAUGACAUCCUUCAUACUUGGUCAGUGAUAUUUUGUAUAACGAAAAUGUAAAACCGCCGGACAUGAGUGGGUGAUACCAGCGAAGGUUAUAGCCAGAUUAUGUGGAUACUAAUGAAGAGUCAUUUAUCAUGAAAAGUAAUAGUAGUUGGGAAAGUACCUUAACUUGUCGAUGGCGAUGAUCCAAAUUUUUAGAUAUAUUUAAGUAGAAGUCACCUGAAAAUUAAAUACCAAAUAAUACAUUUUUUUGAGUACUGGUAGAAAUUACCCUCUUUACUAAGUUAUAUUAAAUUUCAUCUAUAAAAAUUAUGGACACUUUUUUAGAAUUCAUUAGGUUUCGUUGUUAUGACUAUCACCUACUUGUAGUUCUUCAGAUUCUGUGAACAAAGUUUCUUUGAGGGGAACCUGACUAGUUCACUGAUGAUUUGAAGAAAAUCAUUCAAAAAUGAAUUUUAAAUAACUCUCCUUUGAGAUUCAUUAUUUAGGCCCAGUGACUGUUUAGCAAAAAAGGAUGAAGGUUAUUAGAACCUAUCUAUGUAUUUUCUAGUUUGUUCAAAAGUUUCCAUAAAAUGUUGAGCGUAAUAUCCUAAUCCUAUAGAUUGUUAUAAAAAGUAGACGCAUUUCCUAAUAUGAAUCGAUGUUUUUUUUUGCAUAUAGUAAACCUAGCAAAUCGUAAUCAUCUUAC